GAUGAUUCUCAGACAUCAUCACACGACCAUCCUGUACCAAGGGGUUUCAUUUCUGUUGGUGGAUCUUACAUGGCUCACUAAUCACUAAGGAGACGUCAUAAUUGGAUUCCUAUUUUUCUCAAUCCUCGCACAAUUCCUAGGUGGCAUUCACUGUAAGGGAGCUUCCUCGUCUCCCUCACACUCUGCCCUGAGAUGUGGUUUUCUUGUUGACUAGAUUUGGAUUUCUACUGAGGAUCGUGGGGAGAGCAGAUACACAGGUGUCAACCCCUGGGGUUCACUGUGACACUCCUAAACCUGCGUAGUCUCUUCAUGGUGUUUGAAUCCUUGACUAACCUGAAUUGUAUAAACUUCAAGCAAUAAGAAGGAAUGGCAGCUUGAGCUCACAGUUGGUGUCCUAUAUUUAGUGGUCUUCAUUCUCCUGAGAGGACAGAAUGGUCCAGUGGUUGGACUCACCUUGACACUUGGACAUCUGUCUCUUCCAGGGAUCCUGUGAUCCCACAUAGUUGUGAAACCUGUGGUGUUCCUACCUAAAGGGCCUUCAACUGCUUUGCUUCACGGACAUGGUCAGAAGUAACUACUAGUCUCCAGGUCCAGGCCUGAAGAUACUGGCAGCUUCUGCUUAUCUCUCAGAUGACUUCCUCUGUGGGAAAGUUACACCUUCCUGAGGAAAUGAUUAAGGCAUUGGAGAGAUUGAGAAAGUCAUUUGAGGUCACAGCCUGCACAAGAGGGAACAUAUCACCCAGGGGUAGAGGAAGUACACGAAGACAUUCAGCCGACACACCAAUCUGAGAGAAGCAAGGGUUUGGAUAUCCAUUGGAUCGCUUCUUCCAAGGUGUCAAUGGAGGCCAAAAGAGAACAUUGGAUCCCUUGGAGCUGGAAUUACAGGUGGCUGUGAACUUUGAACUCGACUGGGGUCCUUUGGAAGAACAGUGCAUGCUCCCAACUACUGAACCAUCUUUUUAGCGCUGAGACCAGGACUUUCUUGAAAGCAACUUCUGCUGGGCAUCAGGCCUCUCUGUCAGUCGAGUGCUGCACCUGUGUGCUUGCCUAUCACCGCCCGUGUCAUUAGGGAGACUGCUUAGCUCAGCUGCAGAAGAAUCCUAGUCCUUAGCACCUUUGGUGUGAAGUCCUGCUGGGCCAAGUGGGUUUCCAAGGAGCUGUUUCUAGCCAAGUCUCCAUAUGCCUGGUGGGUAGGUGUAGAAACCCGAGGAAGGCUUGGCAGGGGAUCUGCAGUGGGAACUGUUACAACCCAAACAAUCACCGUGUACACAGUGCUUCACAUUGUCUCUUGCAUUUACCUGGAAACAGUCACUGGAAACUACAAGACUGUGCAACCCCUAGAAAUGGCUAUGCUACCGAAAAUGCCCGGGACUUGCUGGACAGCUUGCUAUAGUGUCUUCUAGGCAUCUGAAAAGCCACUGAGUAUUUAAAGUGUCACCUCAAGGGAAACAUACCCAGCCAGUCUUUCCACUAGUGAACUGAAACAAAGAUUUUUGGUCAUCUGACUGACCUCCUAGUGCCUUGUUCUGAACUCCACAACUCGGUUUCUUUCUAACGAGUUUUCAGUUCAAGGUCAGAUGCAGUUUGGAAGGAAGCAUUCCUCACAAGCCAGGUGUAAGGACACGUGCUUUGUGAGAGCCUCAGCCUUUGGACUCCAUUCUGGACUUUGACCGCUGUGUGGAGUGCUAGAGAAAUGUGGCCAGGCUGACUCACUACACAGGCUCCCAGACAGUGAGUGGGCAGAACUCGCCUGGAUAGAACCUGGCAAGCUUGGACUUGACCACUGACUGACUCUGCAGUAGCAGAGAAGGCAGCGACAGUAACCACAGGAGCCCCCACCCUAGAUCUUCAGGGGCAGCAUCUCUCUACUUUCUUCUGCUGUGGGUCACCUCUGAUGCCUGCCAAGCUUUCUCACUAUCCUCAAGAGCCCAGACUGUUGGGCCUCAUCCACAGUAGAUGCUGGAAUCAUUGAUGCCCAGGGUGGCUGUGUCAGUUUUUCCCUGGUUCUGUAAUGUCUAUCCCUGGUCACUCUGGGCAGCCAGGUGGGCAAUGAGUGGCCAAGUGUAGGAGAGAGGACACAGGAGGCCAAAAAAGAAAUGGGUGCAUGAACCUGGGUCUGAGGGCUUAGCUGAUGAACACUGAACUUCUGGGAUUUAAGCAUUCCAGACUGUGUUGCUACAGGAUCUUUAGCUCCUUUGAGAAAAUAAAAACAUUCCUACUGUGGACUUCUUAGAACCCAG
RNAcentral lists this long non-coding RNA (2240 nucleotides) under Cricetulus griseus (Chinese hamster). RNAcentral describes it as "lncRNA (ENSCGRG00015036045.1)". Lineage: Eukaryota; Metazoa; Chordata; Mammalia; Rodentia; Cricetidae. The record is from RNAcentral.